This 406-nucleotide ribosomal RNA is filed under the name uncultured bacterium. RNAcentral describes it as "partial 16S ribosomal RNA". It matches the Rfam family "Bacterial small subunit ribosomal RNA", at positions 30 to 526 of the family's 1533-position model. The record is from RNAcentral.
AUUGAACGCUGGCGGCAGGCCUAACACAUGCAAGUCGAACGAGUGGCGGACGGGUGAGUAAUGUCUGGGAAACUGCCUGAUGGAGGGGGAUAACUACUGGAAACGGUAGCUAAUACCGCAUACUAUCAGAUGUGCCCAGAUGGGAUUAGCUUGUUGGUGGGGUAACGGCUCACCAAGGCGACGAUCCCUAGCUGGUCUGAGAGGAUGACCAUCCACACUGAAACUGAAACACGGUCCAGCCUCCUACGGAAGGCAGCAAUGGGGAAUAUUGCACAAUGGGGGCAAGCCUGAUGCAGCCAUGACGCGUGUAUGAAGAAGGCCUUCGGGUUGUAAGACACUUUCAGCGAGGAGGCGUUACUCGCAGAAGAAGCACCGGCUAACUCCGUGCCAGCAGCCGCGGUAAUUC